CCUACGGGAGGCAGCAGUGGGGAAUUUUGGACAAUGGGCGCAAGCCUGAUCCAGCAAUGCCGCGUGUGUGAUGAAGGCCUUCGGGUUGUAAAGCACUUUUAGUGGGAACGAAACGGUCCGGGCUAAUACCCUGGACUACUGACGGUACCCGCAGAAUAAGCACCGGCUAACUACGUGCCAGCAGCCGCGGUAAUACGUAGGGUGCAAGCGUUAAUCGGAAUUACUGGGCGUAAAGCGUGCGCAGGCGGUUUUGUAAGACCGAUGUGAAAUCCCCGGGCUUAACCUGGGAACUGCAUUGGUGACUGCAAGGCUUGAGUGUGUCAGAGGGAGGUGGAAUUCCGCGUGUAGCAGUGAAAUGCGUAGAUAUGCGGAGGAACACCGAUGGCGAAGGCAGCCUCCUGGGAUAACACUGACGCUCAUGCACGAAAGCGUGGGGAGCAAACAGGAUUAGAUACCCUGGUAGUCCACGCCCUAAACGAUGUCUACUAGUUGUCGGGUAUUAACUUUCCGUUAGGUAACCGCGAGACGUAACGUACGGGUAACGGUAGACCGCCGUCGGGUAGGUACGGUCGCGAGAAGUUAAACGUAACGAAGGUAAGUUAGUACGGCGUGAGACGUGCCGACGGACGACGACGAGGGAGGUUAGG
This 647-nucleotide ribosomal RNA is filed under the name uncultured bacterium. Its description in RNAcentral is "bacterial SSU rRNA". The stretch from base 1 to 554 matches the Rfam family "Bacterial small subunit ribosomal RNA", at positions 338 to 873 of the family's 1533-position model. The record is from RNAcentral.